Molecule: ribosomal RNA, 703 nt
Filed under: Metschnikowia sp. MS-2019a
Lineage: Eukaryota; Fungi; Ascomycota; Pichiomycetes; Serinales; Metschnikowiaceae
Description: partial large subunit ribosomal RNA
Rfam family: Eukaryotic large subunit ribosomal RNA
Source: RNAcentral
AUUGUAAUUUGAAGGACCUAUUAAAACCCUGAGAGAGCCCAAAGUCCAUUGGAAAAUGGCGCCAUAGAAGGUGAUAGCCCUGUGUGGACCUCUCUCAGCAUACUUUUUAGGCCCAAAGAGUCGAGUUGUUUGGGAAUGCAGCUCUAAGUGGGUGGUAAAUUCCAUCUAAAGCUAAAUAUUGGCGAGAGACCGAUAGCGAACAAGUACAGUGAUGGAAAGAUGAAAAGCACUUUGAAAAGAGAGUGAAAAAGUACGUGAAAUUGUUGAAAGGGAAGGGCUUGCAAGCAGACACAACCUCGGUUGGGCCAGCAUCGGGGCGGGGGGAAACAAAAAAGGUGUGGAAUGUGGCUCUUAUGAGUGUUAUAGCCCCACCCAAUAUUUCCAUCCCAUCCCGAGGCCUGCGAUUCUUCAAGGAUGCUGGCGUAAUGGUUGCAAGUCGCCCGUCUUGAAACACGGACCAAGGAGUCUAACGUCUAUGCGAGUGUUUGGGUGUCAAACCCAUACGCGCAAUGAAAGUAAUAGGAGCGAACCUUUUUGGUGCAGCUCCGACCACAUCAAGGCCUAAACCCUGAUGUGAGUAAGCAUGGCUGUUGGGACCCGAAAGAUGGUGAACUAUACCUGGAUAGGGUGAAGCCAGAGGAAACUCUGGUGGAGGCUCGUAGCGGUUCUGACGUGCAAAUCGAUCGUCGAAUUCUUGGGUAUA